Molecule: long non-coding RNA, 880 nt
Organism: Triticum dicoccoides
Lineage: Eukaryota; Viridiplantae; Streptophyta; Magnoliopsida; Poales; Poaceae
Exons: 6
Source: RefSeq, a predicted model, not a curated record
GGAGGAGGGGGGAGAUGGCGGCGGCGGCUCCCUCUGGUGGCGGAGGAGGAGGGAGAUGGUGGCGGCGGCGCCCUCUGGUGGCGGAGGAGGAGGCCCCUGCCAUGGUGUCUCAGCUCUAGGCCCUCCUGCUUGACCGUGACACCCACCCUCAAGAUCCACUCGACAGAUCACGCGGCUGGCUCUCGAGCUCUACUGCGAUCCCCGAGGAUGUGCUAAGGAUGUGAAGGUCCAUCCCCGGCCCAUGGCUGCUGCCAGAUUAGGCUGGUUGAGCGGUUCUUUCAGUGCGGGCUGAUCUGCAGGCUCGACUUUUUGUUUUGGAGGUUGCUGCUCGUCGUUGGUUAUAUGGGGAGGCGUUUUGCUGGUCCAAGUUUCCUAGGCAGUGCUUUUGCUGGCAGGGAAAGUUCAGAGGAAUAUGCUUUGAGAGGUGUCAUAAUAUGAAAGGAAACAAUUAGUUCUGCCCAAGGGUGUUUCUUUGUACCGGGGCAUUGUCUCCAUAUGCUAGAUGAAAUCCAUGCCUCCCACAGUUAUUGAAGGUGUGUUGCUUCCAUUUGCAAGUUGCAUCAGCAAGAAUUGUUGGGCUUAAAAAUCCAGGAUGGUGUUGUUAAUGCAACAUCUCUGUUUGAAGAGUUGGUGACUGUAGUUUUUGGAAACUAUAGUGAUGGGCUAAUCUACCAGACUGUGGAGCUGCCUCAGAAUGGCGAGUUUUCUUGUGCCAAUGAAACUGGUUCUCAUAGAUCGUAAAGGAUGCUUCUAUUAUGUUUAUUUGGCUUCAACAUUACCUAUAGCAAGAUGCAUUUUUUUGCUUGUUUUUUUUUCCUGCAAGACCUUAUUCCUUGCACUCUUGAGUCUUUUGAGAAGGAGAAAAUUAUUGUUGGGAGGG